AGAGUUUGAUACCUGGCUCAGAGUGAACGCUGGCGGGGUGUUAACACAUGCAGUCGAACGGUAACAGACUCUUCGGAGUGCUGACGAGUGGCGAACGGGUGAGUAAGGUAUAGUUAACUUGCCUCUUGGAGAGGGAUAGCCACUGGAAACGGUGAUUAAUACCUCAUACUUCUAUUUAUCAGAAGAUGAAUAGAGAAAGGAGUUAAAUCUGCCAAGGGAUAGGACUAUAUGGUAUCAGUUAGUUGGUGGGGUAAAGGCCUACCAAGACAAUGACGCCUAGCUGGUCUGAGAGGAUGAUCAGCCACACUGGAACUGAGACACGGUCCAGACUCCUACGGGAGGCAGCAGUGGGGAAUAUUGCACAAUGGGGGAAACCUGAUGCAGCAACGUCGCGUGGAGGAAGAAACCCUUAGGGGCGUAAACUCCUUUUAUCAAGGAAGAAGAUGACGGUACUUGAUGAAUAAGCACCGGUAACUCCGUGCCAGCAGCCGCGGUAAUACGGAGGGUGCAAGCGUUACUCGGAAUCACUGGGCGUAAAGCGCAUGUAGGCGGUUAAUUAAGUUAGAAGUGAAAGCCCACAGCUUAACUGUGGAACAGCUUCUAAAACUGAUUAACUAGAGUCUGGGAGAGGAAGAUGGAAUUAGUAGUGUAGGGGUAAAAUCCGUAGAGAUUACUAGGAAUACCGAAAGCGAAGGGAUCUUCUGGAACAGUACUGACGCUGAGAUGCGAAAGCGUGGGGAGCAAACAGGAUUAGAUACCCUGGUAGUCCACGCCCUAAACGGAUGAAUGUUAGUCGUUGGAGUGCUAGCCACUUCAGUGAUGCAGCUAACGCAUUAAACAUUCCGCCUGGGGAGUACGGCCGCAAGGUUUAAAACUCAAAGGAAUAGACGGGGACCCCGACAAGUGGUGGAGCAUGUGGUUUAAUUCGAAGGAUACGCGAAGAACCUUACCUGGCCUUGCCAUAUACCAGGAACUACCAGAGAUGGUGGGGUGCCUUCGGGAACUGGUAUACCAGGUUGCUGCACGGUUGUCGUCAGGCUCCGUGUCGUGAGAAUGUUGGGGGUUUAAAGGUCCCCCGGCAAAGGAAGGCGGCAAACCCCUUCGGUUGAACUUAAGGUUACAUAAACAGGGCAUAAGGGCUUGGAGGGGAACUCCCUCAAAGUCAAGGAACUUGGCCUUCCGGGAAAAGGGGGGAGGGAAACGUUGGGGGAACCAGAACGUUCCAAGGUUCCAUCUUUGGGGCCCUUAAAGGGGCCCAAGG
RNAcentral lists this ribosomal RNA (1261 nucleotides) under epibiont metagenome. Its description in RNAcentral is "bacterial SSU rRNA". It matches the Rfam family "Bacterial small subunit ribosomal RNA", at positions 8 to 1140 of the family's 1533-position model. The record is from RNAcentral.